Gallus gallus (chicken) is the source of this 2012-nucleotide long non-coding RNA. The record is from Ensembl. Lineage: Eukaryota; Metazoa; Chordata; Aves; Galliformes; Phasianidae.
AGACAUCUCCCUACAAUCCUGAGCACAACACAAGCAGAGGUGCCAGGUACCAAAACAAUGGGCAUAUGGAUUUUUUCCUAUGGAAGACUAGCAAUACACUGAUUGGGACACAAGCUCUCACCUGCAUUAACUCUAGGAACCUGUUCUACAUUGAUUUAUUUAUUUUUUUAAGUGACAACAGAAGCAAGAAGUAAUACAAAACUGGAAACACUUUAAAGCUGACAACAAAAGGAUGCUUUGGCCAAGUCGUGGAAUCACGGAGUGGUUUGGGUUGGAAGGGUCUUUUAAGGUCAUACAGAUGAAAUUGUUUGUUAAAUUAAAGCAAGGUCUUAAGGAGUGAGAAGUUAACAAAUAGUGAACAAACAGCAGACUUAAUGGACCAGCACUAAAGGCAGAGUGCUUUCCUAUCCAUCAGCGCUUCAUUCCAAAGAAACCCAGGGAGUAAAAGCAGCAAAAAGGGGAACUUUCUUUUCAAACAACGUUGAACUCUUAAAAAAUGAAAUACAGAAGUUAGGGAAAGGGUUUGCUGACACCAUCUCUGUUUCACCAUCGUCACAUCUUCAUAGUGAAGAUUUUGGGACCUGCCAGACAGCUCUGAAGGAUGAAUUAGUUGUUUUGUACCAUAGGCUAACUGAAGUGGUCUUGAGGUGAGCAUGGCUGGGUGCAGCUAAGUCUGCCUCCUUGCUUGCUUCCAGAUCUGGAAAGACUUUCUCCCUAACACAGUUAGCAAGAGAAUCAACGUACCCCUCAUGGCCAGGAUGCCCCGUGCUGGGGGAAGCUCCUGUGCUCACUGCUGAGCAGGAGACUUCAGUGGGGGAAGAUGGCCAGAAGACCUCACUGCAAGGCAGCAAACAACAUGAGCUCAAAGAAUUCACCUUCUGUGCAAAGGGAGAGAUCUGAAGAGGCUCCCUGGUCAUCCUGCAAGCAGGGAUGAAUGAACAUCCGAAUCAACCAAUUUCACAAAACACAGUGACAAAAAUUAAGGAAUUUUUGAAUCCCUUAUUGAAAAAUAAGGGAUUUUUUUCUUAUUUGGCAUGGAAAUAAAUGGAUGCAUUGAUUUGCACUCCACAAUCCAGAAAGCUUGAAUCUCUGUGUCAGGAUGCCUCUCUCACAGUACUGAAGAUGUGCACAUUUGUCAGCUCUUAACACUUAAGGGACUCCCAGUACAUCUUGAUUUUAUCCAAUUUGGUGCAAAUUUAUAUCUGCUGAGCUUUGCUUGCAGGACAGCAGCAAGAAGGAUGAACUGUUCAAAGGCAGUAUGAUGUAGCAGCUUCAAGUCAUGCAUCGGAAAACUUCCACAUAAAGAUUUUUCCUUGCCAUCUGCACAAACAAAGCUGUCCUGCCCAUCCCCAUGGGCUUCACUCCCUCCUGCAGCAGCAAAACAGGCUCUGCCCUUCUCCAUCCUGCUCUGGAGACAGAACUUCCCUAUCAGCAGCAGUGCUGGGGCAGCCUGCUCCUAAAGCUUUACAAGACACACCACUGAGUUCAGAUCUGCAUUUGGACUCACAACAAAGAGAAACCUGUUCUCAAAGGUUCUCUUGGCCAAACUACAAAGCUGGGCUUUUUGUUGUUGUUGUGUGUGUUUUGUUUUCUUUCUUUGUAUGCAUGUGACAUCCUAACAAAGCACAGCCAAAGAAAUACAAAGUUUAAUUUGUUUGCGAAACUCAUUCACGAAGGCACAACGCUCACUGCAACAAUGCAACGAGCUGUUCCAAGGAACACAGAAAUCAGACAGAAUACCUACCUCCUCUACUGUAUUUGAGCCUUUCCUCUAUUUCCAUGGAGAUUGCAGCUGGAGGGAUAUUCUUUUUCUUUAAUUUUGCUGGAUUUGAUGAGGUUCUGUAAAGAUUGAACCACUGAGUGCUGGGUUUUUCCUUUUUUUUUUUCUUCUGACAUAACAUCGUUAUGUUGUUUGUAGGAAUUACGGUUUUUAUCUUCCUGUCAACAGAAUAUGCAUGCAAAUAGACUUAGAUUAUUUAUAGAGCAACAUCAAAUUAAACUGCUUGUAUAAU